This 1550-nucleotide ribosomal RNA is filed under the name Vibrio cholerae. RNAcentral describes it as "partial 23S ribosomal RNA". It matches the Rfam family "Bacterial large subunit ribosomal RNA", at positions 1262 to 2797 of the family's 2925-position model. The record is from RNAcentral. Lineage: Bacteria; Pseudomonadati; Pseudomonadota; Gammaproteobacteria; Vibrionales; Vibrionaceae.
CGUAAGGUUUGCUGGAGGUAUCAGAAGUGCGAAUGCUGACAUGAGUAACGACAAAGGGGGUGAAAAACCUCCUCGCCGGAAGACCAAGGGUUCCUGUCCAACGUUAAUCGGGGCAGGGUGAGUCGACCCCUAAGGUGAGGCCGAAAGGCGUAAUCGAUGGGAAACGGGUUAAUAUUCCCGUACUUCUGACUAUUGCGAUGGGGGGACGGAGAAGGCUAGGUGGGCCAGGCGACGGUUGUCCUGGUUCAAGUGCGUAGGCUUGAGAGUUAGGUAAAUCCGGCUCUCUCUAAGGCUGAGACACGACGUCGAGCUACUACGGUAGUGAAGUCAUUGAUGCCAUGCUUCCAGGAAAAGCCUCUAAGCUUCAGAUAGUCAGGAAUCGUACCCCAAACCGACACAGGUGGUCGGGUAGAGAAUACCAAGGCGCUUGAGAGAACUCGGGUGAAGGAACUAGGCAAAAUGGUACCGUAACUUCGGGAGAAGGUACGCUCUUGAUGGUGAAGUCCCUCGCGGAUGGAGCUGACGAGAGUCGCAGAUACCAGGUGGCUGCAACUGUUUAUUAAAAACACAGCACUGUGCAAAAUCGCAAGAUGACGUAUACGGUGUGACGCCUGCCCGGUGCCGGAAGGUUAAUUGAUGGGGUUAGCGCAAGCGAAGCUCUUGAUCGAAGCCCCGGUAAACGGCGGCCGUAACUAUAACGGUCCUAAGGUAGCGAAAUUCCUUGUCGGGUAAGUUCCGACCUGCACGAAUGGCGUAAUGAUGGCCACGCUGUCUCCACCCGAGACUCAGUGAAAUUGAAAUCGCUGUGAAGAUGCAGUGUACCCGCGGCUAGACGGAAAGACCCCGUGAACCUUUACUACAGCUUGGCACUGAACAUUGAACCUACAUGUGUAGGAUAGGUGGGAGGCUAUGAAGACGUGACGCCAGUUGCGUUGGAGCCGUCCUUGAAAUACCACCCUUGUAUGUUUGAUGUUCUAACUUAGACCCAUUAUCUGGGUUGAGGACAGUGCCUGGUGGGUAGUUUGACUGGGGCGGUCUCCUCCCAAAGAGUAACGGAGGAGCACGAAGGUGGGCUAAUCACGGUUGGACAUCGUGAGGUUAGUGCAAUGGCAUAAGCCCGCUUAACUGCGAGAAUGACGGUUCGAGCAGGUGCGAAAGCAGGUCAUAGUGAUCCGGUGGUUCUGUAUGGAAGGGCCAUCGCUCAACGGAUAAAAGGUACUCCGGGGAUAACAGGCUGAUACCGCCCAAGAGUUCAUAUCGACGGCGGUGUUUGGCACCUCGAUGUCGGCUCAUCACAUCCUGGGGCUGAAGUCGGUCCCAAGGGUAUGGCUGUUCGCCAUUUAAAGUGGUACGCGAGCUGGGUUUAGAACGUCGUGAGACAGUUCGGUCCCUAUCUGCCGUGGGCGUUGGAAGAUUGAAGGGGGCUGCUCCUAGUACGAGAGGACCGGAGUGGACGAACCUCUGGUGUUCGGGUUGUGUCGCCAGACGCAUUGCCCGGUAGCUAAGUUCGGAAUUGAUAAGCGCUGAAAGCAUCUAAGCGCGAAGCGAGC